GAAAAGUACGCAUGUUUGAUGUACUAUAAGCACCCGUUUGGUUCGGAAACAAGGGUGGAAUAAUUUCUUAACCCCGAAGUUAUUCCCAAACGCUUAAUUUUGAGGUGGGGUUAGCUAACCACACCCCACUACUUCAACUAAACAAAACACUAUUUUAUUUACUAUCCUUCUUAUCCCAUCUACUCUAAUCAAAUAUUAUUUUAUUUAUAUCUGGACUAAACCCUAUUCUCAACCAAACAUAAAAUUACUCUAACCCCACCUUAACCCUGAACUUAACUCUAUUCCUGAAAUAACAAAUUUUUACUUAACCCCGAAUCAAACAGUGGCUAAGAAUAUAUCAUAUUCUUUUUUUAUGAUAUUGUAUUUUUAUACUAUUUAAGAUAUAUAAAAAUAUUAUUGAUGAAUCAACUUUACAUAUGGAUGAAUAAUUACAUUUUAUCUUAAAAAAAUAUAAAGCUGACUAAUUAGCAAAAUUGUGAAGUAUAUCCUAUGUUGCAUGUUAGCACUUACAAUAGACAAUUCUCAUUUUGCCUGGGAAUGAGAUCUCGCUCCCAUCGUUUAGGAUUUAAUUGAGAAAUGCGAUUACUGCAACUUGUUGGCUUAAAUGGGUCAGUAUCUUGUCCUGUGGCGGAAAGUCAUAUUGGGUCGAGUCAUAUUCAAAAUGGCGUGAGGUUGAGGUGGGCCAAGUCAUCUUCGAAGUGGUACAAGAUUGGUUGGGUCGAGCCACAAUCGAAAUCCGUGGGCGUUGUGUCUGUAUGCUUUAAGUGAAUUGGUUAUAUAUUUCUAACAAGGGGCAAUUGCUUAUAUAUUUCUGAAAAGUUUCCGAUUUUCCGAUUUAUCCCUCUUAGAAGGCUAAUAUUGAAAAUACCCUUUCUACGUUUCAACCUAUUUCUAAUAUACCCCUAGAGUUAAAAUCUGUUAAUUAACUCUGUUAUCUCUGUAAAAUUACUAUUUUGCCCUUUCAGAUAUACCCUUCUACCAUCACUGACUUUCUUAUUUGCCCUUAAAGUCAGGGAUACAAAAAGUAAUUUGAUCUUUGGUCUUUUCCAAUAUACCCCUCUACCGUCACCAACAUUUCGCCCUUAAGUUAAGAAAAAAAUUGAUAUUUUAAUUUUUUUAACUGUGGUAGAUAUUUAACUCACGUUUAACUCAAGUUAACUUAACAUGAGAUAACUGCAGGGGUAUUUUGCAAAAACGGUAGAACAUAUGAGGGUAUUUUAUAAAGAAAAAAAAAAAAGUAGAGAUAAAUCGAAUAUUUUUAAACGUAUGAGGAAUAUAUAGACAAUUAUCUCUUCUGACAACUCGAGCUUUUGGAUUAAUAAUUACCGCCAAUGAUCCGACAACUAAAUGAUGAAUGUCUAAAUACU
RNAcentral lists this long non-coding RNA (1367 nucleotides) under Ananas comosus (pineapple). Its description in RNAcentral is "long non-coding RNA (ACOM_LNC031959)". The record is from RNAcentral. Lineage: Eukaryota; Viridiplantae; Streptophyta; Magnoliopsida; Poales; Bromeliaceae.